RNAcentral lists this ribosomal RNA (371 nucleotides) under uncultured organism. Its description in RNAcentral is "partial 16S ribosomal RNA". It matches the Rfam family "Bacterial small subunit ribosomal RNA", at positions 527 to 896 of the family's 1533-position model. The record is from RNAcentral.
GUAGGUGGCAAGCGUUGUCCGGAAUUAUUGGGCGUAAAGCGCGCGCAGGCGGUUCUUUAAGUCUGAUGUGAAAGCCCACGGCUCAACCGUGGAGGGUCAUUGGAAACUGGAGAACUUGAGUACAGAAGAGGAAAGCGGAAUUCCACGUGUAGCGGUGAAAUGCGUAGAGAUGUGGAGGAACACCAGUGGCGAAGGCGGCUUCUGGUCUGUAACUGACGCUGAGGCGCGAAAGCGUGGGGAGCAAACAGGAUUAGAUACCCUGGUAGUCCACGCCGUAAACGAUGAGUGCUAAGUGUUAGGGGGUUUCCGCCCCCCUUAGUGCUGCAGCUAACGCAUUAAGCACUCCGCCUGGGAGUACGGCCGCAAGGCUG